CCCUUAGAUGUUCUGGGCCGCACACGCGCUACACUGAAGGAGGCAGCGUGUACUCCUGGAUCGAAAGAUUUGGGUAACCCGCGAAUCUCCUUCGUGCUAGGGAUUGAGGUUUGCAAUUAUCCUUCAUGAACGAGGAAUUCCCAGUAAGUGCAAGUCAUAAGCUUGCGCUGACUACGUCCCUGCCCUUUGUACACACCGCCCGUCGCUACUACCGAUUGAAUGAUUUGGUGAGGACUUCGGACUGGGACCGAUGCGGCUUUCGGGCUGCGUCGGUAUUCUGGAAAGAUGUCCAAACUGUAUCAUUUAGAGGAAGUAAAANUCGUAACA
RNAcentral lists this ribosomal RNA (327 nucleotides) under uncultured eukaryote. Its description in RNAcentral is "partial 18S ribosomal RNA". It matches the Rfam family "Eukaryotic small subunit ribosomal RNA", at positions 1470 to 1796 of the family's 1831-position model. The record is from RNAcentral.